RNAcentral lists this ribosomal RNA (271 nucleotides) under Prochlorococcus marinus str. NATL1A. Its description in RNAcentral is "partial 16S ribosomal RNA". It matches the Rfam family "Bacterial small subunit ribosomal RNA", at positions 1264 to 1533 of the family's 1533-position model. The record is from RNAcentral. Lineage: Bacteria; Bacillati; Cyanobacteriota; Cyanophyceae; Synechococcales; Prochlorococcaceae.
CUAGCAAAUCCCAUAAACCGUGGCUCAGUUCAGAUCGUAGGCUGCAACUCGCCUACGUGAAGUAGGAAUCGCUAGUAAUCGCAGGUCAGCAUACUGCGGUGAAUACGUUCCCGAGCCUUGUACACACCGCCCGUCACACCAUGGAAGUUGGCCACGCCCGAAGUCGUUACUUUAACCCUUGUGGAGAAGGACGCCGAAGGUGGGGCUGAUGACUGGGGUGAAGUCGUAACAAGGUAGCCGUACCGGAAGGUGCGGCUGGAUCACCUCCUAA